RNAcentral lists this long non-coding RNA (207 nucleotides) under Elaeis guineensis (African oil palm). RNAcentral describes it as "long non-coding RNA (EGUI_LNC007770)". The record is from RNAcentral. Lineage: Eukaryota; Viridiplantae; Streptophyta; Magnoliopsida; Arecales; Arecaceae.
GCUGGACGUGAUUUGUUGUUGAUGAACAGAAGAGAGCUUGAUCAUUAGGAUUGAUUUUUUCUUUCUCUCUUCUUUAGGGUUGUCCCGCAUCAGAGGGAGGAAAAGACAAUGGGGGAGUAUUUUUUUUCUUCUUCUCUUUCAACUUAGAACUCUCUCAUUCCCAUCUUCUAUCACUAUUCUCCCUCUCCAACUGUCACUGACUUAACA